GACGAACGCUGGCGGCGUGCCUAAUACAUGCCAGUAGAACGCACAGUUUAUACCGUAGCUUGCUACACCAUAAACUGUGAGUUGCGAACGGGUGAGUAACGCGUAGGUAACCUGCCUGGUAGCGGGGGAUAACUAUUGGAAACGAUAGCUAAUACCGCAUAAUAUUGAUUAUUGCAUGAUAAUUGAUUGAAAGAUGCUAUUGCAUCACUACCAGAUGGACCUGCGUUGUAUUAGCUAGUAGGUGAGGUAACGGCUCACCUAGGCGACGAUACAUAGCCGACCUGAGAGGGUGAUCGGCCACACUGGGACUGAGACACGGCCCAGACUCCUACGGGAGGCAGCAGUAGGGAGUCUUCGGCAAUGGACGAAAGUCUGACCGAGCAACGCCGCGUGAGUGAAGAAGGUUUUCGGAUCGUAAAGCUCUGUUGUAAGAGAAGAACGGGUGUGAGAGUGGAAAGUUCACACUGUGACGGUAUCUUACCAGAAAGGGACGGCUAACUACGUG
RNAcentral lists this ribosomal RNA (505 nucleotides) under uncultured bacterium. RNAcentral's name for it is "partial 16S ribosomal RNA". It matches the Rfam family "Bacterial small subunit ribosomal RNA", at positions 28 to 507 of the family's 1533-position model. The record is from RNAcentral.